UGCCUACGGGGCGCAGCAGUGGGGAAUAUUGCACAAUGGGGGAAACCCUGAUGCAGCGACGCCGCGUGAGUGAAGAAGUAUUUCGGUAUGUAAAGCUCUAUCAGCAGGGAAGAAAAUGACGGUACCUGACUAAGAAGCCCCGGCUAACUACGUGCCAGCAGCCGCGGUAAUACGUAGGGGGCAAGCGUUAUCCGGAUUUACUGGGUGUAAAGGGAGCGUAGACGGCAUGGCAAGUCAGAAGUGAAAGCCCGGGGCUCAACUCCGGGACUGCUUUUGAAACUGUGUUGCUAGAUUGCAGGAGAGGG
Molecule: ribosomal RNA, 305 nt
Filed under: uncultured bacterium
Lineage: Bacteria
Description: bacterial SSU rRNA
Rfam family: Bacterial small subunit ribosomal RNA
Source: RNAcentral